GUGUGUGUGUGCGUGUCUGCCACUAUUACCACACUUUACUUAUGAAUGAACAAAACUGAUUGCGAUGUUUUGGUAAUCAGUCUAUGAUUGACUGAUACGGGCUCUUUCAUGAACUCUGUGACCUGGAUGUGUGUGUGUGUGUGUGUAGAUAACGUUGCGUGCAAGCUGUGUGUGUGUGUCUGUGUGUCUGUCUGUGUGUAGAUACGCUUGUGUGUGUGUAGGUCUGGUUGUGUGUGUAGGCCAGGUUGUGUGUGUGUGUAGGUCUGGUUGUGUGUGUGUGUGUAGAUAAGGUUGUGUGUGUGUAGGUCAGGUUGUGUGUGUGUAGAUUAAGUUGUGUGUGUGUAGGUCAGGUUGUGUGUGUGUGUGUAGAUUAAGUUGUGUGUGUGUAGGUCAGGUUGUGUGUGUGUGUGUAGAUUAAGUUGUGUGUGUGUAGGUCAGGUUGUGUGUGUGUAGAUUAAGUUGUGUGUGUGUAGGUCAGGUUGUGUGUGUGUAGAUGAAGUUGUGUGUGUGUAGGUCAGGUUGUGUGUGUGUAGAUUAAGUUGUGUGUGUGUAGGUCAGGUUGUGUGUGUGUGUAGAUCAGGUUUUGUGUGUGUAGGUCAGGUUGAAUGUGCCAUUGAGGUUUUGUGUUGAGUUUAGUUUCAAACUUUUAUAAAUAAAUAAAUUAAUUAAAAAAACGACUUUGUCUUACAAGCUACAGUAGAUAAGGUUGUGUGUGUAGAUUGCAUUCAGUUUG
Long non-coding RNA from Clupea harengus (Atlantic herring), 733 nucleotides. The record is from Ensembl. Lineage: Eukaryota; Metazoa; Chordata; Actinopteri; Clupeiformes; Clupeidae.